GUUUUAAUAAUUUAUAUUUAAAAUAUUGGUCUUGUAAACCAAAAAAAAGAAAGGAUCUUUUAAAACU
This 67-nucleotide transfer RNA is filed under the name Onthophagus cuniculus. RNAcentral describes it as "tRNA-Thr". Lineage: Eukaryota; Metazoa; Arthropoda; Insecta; Coleoptera; Scarabaeidae. The record is from RNAcentral.